RNAcentral lists this ribosomal RNA (253 nucleotides) under uncultured bacterium. RNAcentral's name for it is "partial 16S ribosomal RNA". It matches the Rfam family "Bacterial small subunit ribosomal RNA", at positions 524 to 776 of the family's 1533-position model. The record is from RNAcentral.
UACGAAGGGGGCUAGCGUUGCCCGGAAUUACUGGGCGUAAAGGGCGCGUAGGCGGCUAGUUCAGUCGGGGGUGAAAGCCCGGGGCUCAACCUCGGAACUGCCUUCGAUACUGGCUAUCUUGAGUACGGGAGAGGUGUGUGGAACUCCGAGUGUAGAGGUGAAAUUCGUAGAUAUUCGGAAGAACACCAGUGGCGAAGGCGACGCACUGGCCCGUUACUGACGCUGAGGCGCGAAAGCGUGGGGAGCAAACAGG